RNAcentral lists this long non-coding RNA (991 nucleotides) under Lupinus angustifolius (narrow-leaved blue lupine). RNAcentral's name for it is "long non-coding RNA (LANG_LNC000083)". Lineage: Eukaryota; Viridiplantae; Streptophyta; Magnoliopsida; Fabales; Fabaceae. The record is from RNAcentral.
UCGCUAGUUGAUACCACCUACUCCCAUGGUUAGUUGCUGAUAGGAAUGGCAACGGGACGGGUCGGAGUCGGGUUUACACAUACCCAAACCUGAAAUUCAAAACCCAAACUCAACGGGGUUGAAAAUAAAAAUAUCAUCCCCGAAUCGGGUAACCCAAACCCGAAAAAAACCCAAAAAUUAUAAAGUAUUAAGGAAAGUAUGAUAUUAUUUUCGUGUAAUUUUCCUCUAACAAUUCUAUUUUCUCUUGUAUUAUUUCAUUUAUUUUAUGUUUGAAGAUCCAAGAGUAUGUAAAGUAAAAUUAGAAAUUAAAAACAAUGGGGACAUGAUAGAAAUUUCAAUUUUAAAUUGAAUUACCUUACUUCGGGGCAGGUUCGGGUCUUUGCUAUACCAAAGACGAACCUGAAAUUUAAACUCGGGUAAAACCCGAACCCAAUCACAUUGGGUUUUCCCGUUAAAUUUGGGUUCGGAUCGGGCGGGUACCCACGAGUUCAGUUUUUAUUAUCAUUCCUAGUUGCUGGAAGUUCCAGAUUUAAUACCAAAUUAAUUUAGGGAUAACAACUACUAAAAUUUUGCAAAAAAAAACAAUGAGGCUUGGGUUUAUACAUCUGCUUACCAAGACCUUCGGGGGAUGGAAAGGCUUGAAUCCUUAUCACCAAAUAGAGGUUGAUCAAGGCUUGAAUCUGAAGUUAAUAAAUUUUCAAAAUCAAAGAAGCAAAUGAAUGAUGGUGGUACCAAAGAGAAAAAGGAAGAUACUAGUUUUCCAAAAUAAUUAUUGUUGAGUCUUACCAAAGAGGAUGAGUAAGGAGCUGCCCUUGCUAAAUUGAACCCUCAAAUCAAACAUGCAAACAAAGCUUGCGCAAUAUUUGAGUUAGUUGUUGAAGAAUUGAGAAAAUUUAAGAGUGUUUUUGAAGUGAGAUUGAAGGUAGAAUGGUGAUUGUUGGGUGUCAGCUAUGAUGAGGAAAAGGAAGAAGAACGUUUGAUUGUGAGUGAG